This 220-nucleotide ribosomal RNA is filed under the name uncultured bacterium. RNAcentral describes it as "partial 16S ribosomal RNA". It matches the Rfam family "Bacterial small subunit ribosomal RNA", at positions 524 to 743 of the family's 1533-position model. The record is from RNAcentral.
UACGUAGGGUGCAAGCGUUAAUCGGAAUUACUGGGCGUAAAGCGUGCGCAGGCGGUUUUGUAAGUUUGUCGUGAAAUCCCCGGGCUCAACCUGGGAAUUGCGAUGAAGACUGCAAGGCUAGAAUCUGGCAGAGGGGGGUAGAAUUCCACGUGUGAGCAGUGAAAUGCGUAGAGAUGUGGAGGAACACCGAUGGCGAAGGCAGCCCCUGGGUCAAGAUUGA